Molecule: ribosomal RNA, 733 nt
Filed under: uncultured eukaryote
Lineage: Eukaryota
Description: SSU rRNA
Rfam family: Eukaryotic small subunit ribosomal RNA
Source: RNAcentral
UAGUCUGGUGCCAGCAGCCGCGGUAAUUCCAGCUCCAAUAGCGUAUAUUAAAGUUGUUGCAGUUAAAACGCACGUAGUCGGAUUUCGGGGCAGGUUUGCCGGUCUGCCGAUGGGUAUGCACUGGUAGAACUGUCCUUCCUUCCGGAGACGGUGCCUACUCUUAACUGAGCGGGUGUCGGAGACGGAUCGUUUACUUUGAAAAAAUCAGAGUGUUUCAAGCAGGCAGCUCGCUUUUGCAUGGAUUAGCAUGGGAUAAUGAAAUAGGACUUUGGUGCUAUUUUGUUGGUUUCGAACACCGAAGUAAUGAUUAACAGGGACAGUCAGGGGCACUCGUAUUCCGCCGAGAGAGGUGAAAUUCUUAGACCAGCGGAAGACGAACCACUGCGAAAGCAUUUGCCAGGGAUGUUUUCACUGAUCAAGAACGAAAGUUAGGGGAUCGAAGACGAUCAGAUACCGUCGUAGUCUUAACCAUAAACCAUGCCGACUAGGGAUUGGAGGAUGUUCCUAUGUGACUCCUUCAGCACCUUUCGGGAAACUAAAGUCUUUGGGUUCCGGGGGGAGUAUGGUCGCAAGGCUGAAACUUAAAGGAAUUGACGGAAGGGCACCACCAGGAGUGGAGCCUGCGGCUUAAUUUGACUCAACACGGGGAAACUUACCAGGUCCAGACAUUGUGAGGAUUGACAGAUUGAGAGCUCUUUCUUGAUUCGAUGGGUGGUGGUGCAUGGCCGUUCUU